GUUCGGAGGGCGGUGCGCGGCUGGGUGCCGGAGGCCAGCGCUGGGGGCGCGUUCUCCUCGUUUUCUCGGCUCUCCAGCCCGAGACGGGCAUUUUGUCGAGCGGCCUGGCCGAGGGGAGCUUCUCCGAGCUUCCGUCGGGUCUGGCUCGCUGGAACUGCAGGCCCAAGCUCGGGGUCGGCGACGCCAAAGUGGUGCCCGGAUAAAUCCUGGGCUUCCGGCGUUGAACCGGCCACUGAGGUCCGACACAACUUGCAAAAUGGCCCGGGGUUACAAGCAUGUGAGGUUGGAACACGCAAAAUAACAGCUGCAGAACGGUUCAAGCCCGGAGGAGCCUGCCUCCUGCUCUGAUCUCCUUCCAACAUCCUCUACGUUCCCAAGUAGGGAUUUCCUCCCUCAAAACCCGGGAAGACUGGGAAGGAGGCGCAAGAAAUGCCUCCCCCCUCCCCCAAAUCUUAGCAGCCGCUUGGGCAAAAGGCUGGAUCCCACCCCGGGUCUGCAGUGGCAGGAGACCCAGAAAUGGUGCCGAGGAGAAGAUCAGCUUCUGAGGCCCGACUCCCGCCCAAGCCGCCUCUUUCACCACGCCCUUGGGGUUUGGGGGAGGGAAAAUUGGGAGACAAGAGGGAGCCUGCGAAUGGUAGACGUCCUUUCUGAGCGCAGCUUUCAGGGUUAAAGUUCCGGAAUCCGAGGUAAGAGUUGGUCUCUCUCCCUCUCUCUCUCUGUCUCUCUGUCUCUUUCUCUGUCUCUCUCUCUCUGUCUCUCUCUCUCUCUGUCUCUCUCUCUCUGUCUCUCUCUCAGAAAUACAAGCCGACUCAGCUGAGCUCGGUGACGUUGGGCUGCCUUGAUGCUUACAAAGUACUGAAAUUGCCUAUCCAACUAGCUCCCACUGCACGCCGCCUGCCUCUGUCUGUCUCUCUCUCUCUCCCUCCCUUCCUCCCUUCCUCCCUCCUCCCUCUCCCUUCCCACUCCCUCCCCCAACCACCUUUUCCAUUAGAUUUCCCGAACACUCAAAUCACAACAAGACUCUCAAACCCAGACCUCGAGAUCACCCCCUCCUCUCCACCCGCUCUCCAACCUCCAUCCAUCUCUGCUUCUCUGAGCGCGGCUCGGUGGCUGCAAAAAAUCCUGCACAAAUCAUCGCAAACCCGCUCGGCUUCUGCCCGGGAAGUACUCUCGGUGACGCGGCUGUGCGGAGAACGGAGUACGAACGCACGAGGCGUGCACACACACGCUGGGAGCCUCCUCUGCAGCCUUGCCCGCGUUCUCUCUCCACCGCUGACCUCAAGACGGAGAACUGCCUGACCCCGCCUGGCCCAGCCUGCCGCCGCUAGCCGCCCUGAUAUCUCCCCCCAUCCCCACUCAUCACCCCGACUCCGAGAGACUCCGGGGUGAAGGCAGGGUGAAGGCAUACCCCAAUAAAAUAAAGAGGCAAUCAGGCGAUACCGACUAUCUCACCAGCCGCUGCACCUAUAGGACUUGGAGACGUCACGAGUCACGCAACAGGCCCGCGCGCUGUCACGCUCGACUGGGGGGCAGCGGCGGGAGGUUGAGUCCUCUCCGUCUUCGCCUAUCACUCCCGCCCGGGUCUGCGCAGCCACAAGUCUCAGACGCCUGGGCCACGGGAAUAAAUAAAGAAAUAAACAAAUCCAGCGCUCU
Molecule: long non-coding RNA, 1653 nt
Organism: Balaenoptera musculus (blue whale)
Lineage: Eukaryota; Metazoa; Chordata; Mammalia; Artiodactyla; Balaenopteridae
Exons: 3
Source: RefSeq, a predicted model, not a curated record